RNAcentral lists this ribosomal RNA (432 nucleotides) under uncultured bacterium. RNAcentral's name for it is "partial 16S ribosomal RNA". It matches the Rfam family "Bacterial small subunit ribosomal RNA", at positions 29 to 507 of the family's 1533-position model. The record is from RNAcentral.
AACGAACGCUGGCGGCAUGCCUAACACAUGCAAGUCGAACGAGACCUUCGGGUCUAGUGGCGCACGGGUGCGUAGCGCGUGGGAACCUGCCCUUAGGUUCGGAAUAACUCCCCGAAGGGGGGGCUAAUACCGGUAAAUUUCUUCGACCAAAGAUUUAUCGCCUUUGGAUGGGGCCGCGUUGGAUUAGCUAGUUGGUAGGGUAAAAGCCUACCAAGGCGACGAUCCAUAGCUGGUCUGAGAGGAUGAUCAGCCACACUGGGACUGAGACACGGCCCAGACUCCUACGGGAGGCAGCAGUGGGGAAUAUUGGACAAUGGGCGAAAGCCUGAUCCAGCAAUGCCGCGUGAGUGAUGAAGGCCUUAGGGUUGUAAAGCUCUUUUACCCGGGAUGAUAAUGACAGUACCGGGAGAAUAAGCUCCGGCUAACUCCGUG